UAUUAAAAAUUUCAUCAUUUGUUACUAUUAAAAAUUGUUGUGGCUGACAGAAAAAUUAGAUAGUUACAUGUGGCAUACCACGCGUACCUCAUUAUGACAUGCAAAGAUUAAUUUUUAACUAUAGAAAUAGAUGAGAUUUUUAACA
This is a non-coding RNA of Gossypium arboreum, 145 nucleotides long. Lineage: Eukaryota; Viridiplantae; Streptophyta; Magnoliopsida; Malvales; Malvaceae. The record is from Rfam.